GCUGGGCGCGGUGGCUCACGCCUGUAAUCCCAGCACUUUGGGAGGCCGAGAUGGGUGGAUCACCUGAGGUCAGGAGUUCAAGACCAGCCUGGCCAACAUGGUGAAACCCCGUCUCUA
Molecule: non-coding RNA, 117 nt
Filed under: Nomascus leucogenys (northern white-cheeked gibbon)
Lineage: Eukaryota; Metazoa; Chordata; Mammalia; Primates; Hylobatidae
Source: Rfam by way of RNAcentral